Molecule: long non-coding RNA, 1216 nt
Organism: Diospyros lotus (date-plum)
Lineage: Eukaryota; Viridiplantae; Streptophyta; Magnoliopsida; Ericales; Ebenaceae
Exons: 3
Source: RefSeq, a predicted model, not a curated record
CCAGAAUCAUUAGUUUUGCUGCAAGAUAUAUUCUGGUUUCUCGAAAAUUGCCCCCAGAUCUGAUACACUGCCAUGGAUGAAAUGAAACAUACGACGUCGUAGUGCUCGGGACCGGUCUCAAGGAAUGCAUAAUCAGUGGACUCCUCUCCGUCGAUGGACUCACACUGAGCGCUCUCUCUCUCCCUGUCUCUGCACGCACAUACAUAUUAUUUAUACAUUUUUAUGUUGGUGGUGGUAUCAUGUAUAUAUGAUUGUUUGAUCACUAUGUAUACAAAUGUGCGUCAUAUUGUUAAAUUCUGUUGUUUUGGAACUAAAGCUUUGCUUGUGAGAGAAUAGGUAAUUGAAUGGAAUGAAAAUGAGUGAUACAGAAGAGAGUGGUAUGGAAUGAAAAAUAAUUUUUCUUUGUUUGGGAGAUUAUGGGAUGGAAAGCAAUGAGAAAUGAGAGUACUGAAGAUGGAUGAAAUGAAAAUAUAUUAAUCAUCAAAUGACCACUGCACCCUUUUAGUGAAAAGGUCGUGUGUGACAAAGUUAAGGACAAAUUUGAAUAUUUAAUAAAAUUAUUGAGGUUAUUGCUGUCAAAUCAUAAAAGUUGAUUUUUUCGUCCAUUUUCUCCCAAUUUGGCAGGGGAAGACAAAAGUAGGCCACUGGAUGGAAAGUGUUUCAAUCAAUUUCCAUUCCCCUCCAUUACUAAUGUGUCUCCCAAACGAAGAGAACUUCCACCCAAUUCCAUUCCAUCCCACCUACCAAACGCAUUGGAAGGGUUUCUUCUGUUUUGGGAUUAUAAUGGUGUUGUUAAACUGCAAGAAGAUAGGGUUCUUUGUUCCAUGGUUGGAACAGGUUCUUCACAUGGAUAGAAAUGAUUACCACGGAUAAGAAUCCACUUCACUUAUUCUCAACCAUCUCUGGAAGCGAUUCAGAGGUGGUGAUACACCUCAAGGACAUUUGGGCUCAAGCAGAGAUUACAAUGUCAACAUGAUCCCCAAAGUAUGCAGACUUCCUUGUCGUCAUCAUUCAAUGUAUUUAUAUCCACAAAGGAAGUCUUUGGUCUUCCAUGUGCUAUUUUUACCCUCUUCUUAAAUCGUGUAAGCUCUAAAAUUUCCGUAGUUAGAGAAUUGGUCCGAUUUUACAACUUGACUUGCUGAGUGAAGCUGAGCUGAGCGUCAACUGACCCAACUCGAGAGGCUAGUUUGAACAGUAUAAUUUUGCAUAAACACAA